CCUACGGGCGGCAGCAGUGGGGAAUAUUGGACAAUGGGGGGAACCCUGAUCCAGCCAUGCCGCGUGUGUGAAGAAGGCCCUCGGGUUGUAAAGCACUUUCAGUGAGGAAGAACGCCUGGUGGUUAAUACCCAUCAGGAAAGACAUCACUCACAGAAGAAGCACCGGCUAACUCCGUGCCAGCAGCCGCGGUAAUACGGAGGGUGCGAGCGUUAAUCGGAAUUACUGGGCGUAAAGCGCGCGUAGGUGGCUUGAUAAGCCGGUUGUGAAAGCCCCGGGCUCAACCUGGGAACGGCAUCCGGAACUGUCAAGCUAGAGUGCAGGAGAGGAAGGUAGAAUUCCCGGUGUAGCGGUGAAAUGCGUAGAGAUCGGGAGGAAUACCAGUGGCGAAGGCGGCCUUCUGGACUGACACUGACACUGAGGUGCGAAAGCGUGGGUAGCAAACAGGAUUAGAUACCCGGGUAGUC
RNAcentral lists this ribosomal RNA (465 nucleotides) under Vreelandella stevensii. RNAcentral's name for it is "partial 16S ribosomal RNA". It matches the Rfam family "Bacterial small subunit ribosomal RNA", at positions 338 to 795 of the family's 1533-position model. The record is from RNAcentral. Lineage: Bacteria; Pseudomonadati; Pseudomonadota; Gammaproteobacteria; Oceanospirillales; Halomonadaceae.